Molecule: microRNA precursor, 89 nt
Filed under: Acromyrmex echinatior (Panamanian leafcutter ant)
Lineage: Eukaryota; Metazoa; Arthropoda; Insecta; Hymenoptera; Formicidae
Also listed under: 2 other names
Description: mir-252 microRNA precursor family
Rfam family: mir-252 microRNA precursor family
Source: Rfam by way of RNAcentral
UCCUGUUCCUAAGUACUAGUGCCGCAGGAGUGAUUAGGCUGUAUGAGACAUUACCGUAUCUCCUGCUGCUCAAGUGCUUAUCAACGGGU